This 203-nucleotide ribosomal RNA is filed under the name uncultured bacterium. Its description in RNAcentral is "partial 16S ribosomal RNA". It matches the Rfam family "Bacterial small subunit ribosomal RNA", at positions 1290 to 1500 of the family's 1533-position model. The record is from RNAcentral.
AGUUCGGACUGGAGUCUGCAACCCGACUCCACGAAGCUGGAUUCGCUAGUAAUCGCGCAUCAGCCAUGGCGCGGUGAAUACGUUCCCGGGCCUUGUACACACCGCCCGUCAAGCCAUGGGAGCCGGGGGCGCCUGAAGUCCGGGACCGCGAGGACCGGCCUAGGGCGAAACUGGUAACUGGGGCUAAGUCGUAACAAGGUACC